CAAUAGCGUAUAUUUAAGUUGUUGCAGUUAAAAAGCUCGUAGUUGGAUUUCGGAUGGGAUUUGCCGGUCCGUCGUUACGAUGUGCACUGGCCAGUCCUAUCUUGUUGUCGGGGACUAGCUCCUUGGAUUCACUUCCUGGGACUAGGAGCUGACGAGGUUACUUUGAGUAAAUUAGAGUGUUCAAAGCAAGCCUACGCUCUGAAUACAUUAGCAUGGAAUAACACGAUAGGACUCUGGCUUAUCUUGUUGGUCUGUGAGACCGGAGUAAUGAUUAAGAGGGACAGUCGGGGACAUUCGUAUUUCAUUGUCAGAGGUGAAAUUCUUGGAUUUAUGAAAGACGAACUUCUGCGAAAGCAUUUGUCAAGGAUGUUUUCAUUAA
This 379-nucleotide ribosomal RNA is filed under the name uncultured eukaryote. Its description in RNAcentral is "partial 18S ribosomal RNA". It matches the Rfam family "Eukaryotic small subunit ribosomal RNA", at positions 592 to 976 of the family's 1831-position model. The record is from RNAcentral.